This 433-nucleotide ribosomal RNA is filed under the name uncultured bacterium. Its description in RNAcentral is "partial 16S ribosomal RNA". It matches the Rfam family "Bacterial small subunit ribosomal RNA", at positions 29 to 507 of the family's 1533-position model. The record is from RNAcentral.
AACGAACGCUGGCGGCAGGCCUAACACAUGCAAGUCGAGCGGACCCUUCGGGGUUAGCGGCGGACGGGUGAGUAACGCGUGGGAAUAUGCCCUUCUCUACGGAAUAGUCCUGGGAAACUGGGGGUAAUACCGUAUACGCCCUUUGGGUGAAAGAUUUAUCGGGGAAGGAUUAGCCCGCGUUGGAUUAGGUAGUUGGUGGGGUAAUGGCCUACCAAGCCGACGAUCCAUAGCUGGUUUGAGAGGAUGAUCAGCCACACUGGGACUGAGACACGGCCCAGACUCCUACGGGAGGCAGCAGUGGGGAAUCUUAGACAAUGGGGGCAACCCUGAUCUAGCCAUGCCGCGUGAGUGAUGAAGGCCUUAGGGUUGUAAAGCUCUUUCAGCUGGGAAGAUAAUGACGGUACCAGCAGAAGAAGCCCCGGCUAACUCCGUG